RNAcentral lists this long non-coding RNA (525 nucleotides) under Homo sapiens (human). Its description in RNAcentral is "HSALNT0307147". The record is from RNAcentral. Lineage: Eukaryota; Metazoa; Chordata; Mammalia; Primates; Hominidae.
AAGUCUGCGCGGGCCGUUGCCUAGCCACUGCGAAUGCCGUCAGCCGCUUUGCAGGCCUGAAGUGGAGAAGGAGGCCGCAAACGGACUUUCGCGGUUGAGAUGCUCUCUGGCCCUAGGAAAGUUUCUCUGGGGUUGAUUUGAUCAAUACAGACACUUUACGCCUGUUUUCCAUACCCGUCCCUGAGAUGUUUUGGAGACUGGCUGAAAAUCUUUCCUCUUGGCCUGGACAGUGCAUCCAAACACCUGAGCCCUGUGGGCAAUUUUACCAUUUUACCUAGAGAUGAGGAAACCAAAGCCCAGAAAAGAUAAACUGCCCAAGUUCAUUCUCAGUAUGCAACCUAUGCAGAGUGCAGUUCAUCAGAUACUCAGCCCAGUAUUUAUUUGCUCAACUAUAUAGAGAUGGCUUUCCUGAAGAUAAAGAUCAGAAAAGUUAGAAACUUAUCCAUCUGGCUGCGCGUGGUGGCUCACACCUAUAAUCCCAGCACUUUGGGAGGCCAAGGUGGGCAGAUCGCCUGAGGUCCGGAG